RNAcentral lists this ribosomal RNA (253 nucleotides) under uncultured prokaryote. Its description in RNAcentral is "partial 16S ribosomal RNA". It matches the Rfam family "Bacterial small subunit ribosomal RNA", at positions 524 to 776 of the family's 1533-position model. The record is from RNAcentral.
GACAGAAGGUGCAAGCGUUACUCGGAAUUACUGGGCGUAAAGCGUCUGUAGGUGUCCUUCCACGUCUGGCGUAAAAUUUCAGUGCUCAACACUGAAUGCGUGCCGGAAACGAGAGGGAUCGAGUUAUUCAGAGGCAUCUGGAAUGUCGUGUGUAGGGGUAAAAUCCGUAGAUACACGAUGGAACGCCAAAAGCGAAGGCAGGAUGCUGGGAAUAUACUGACACUCAGAGACGAAAGCGUGGGGAGCAAAGGGG